UACGAAGGGUGCUAGCGUUGUUCGGAAUUACUGGGCGUAAAGGGCGCGUAGGCGGUUUUAUAAGUCAGAUGUGAAAGCCCUGGGCUUAACCUAGGAUGUGCAUUUGAUACUGUAUGACUGGAGUACAAGAGAGGAAGAUGGAAUUGCGUGUGUAGAGGUGAAAUUCGUAGAUAUACGCAGGAACACCGGUAGCGAAGGCGAUCUUCUGGCUUGAUACUGACGCUAAGGCGCGAAAGCGUGGGGAGCAAACAGG
This 253-nucleotide ribosomal RNA is filed under the name uncultured bacterium. RNAcentral's name for it is "partial 16S ribosomal RNA". It matches the Rfam family "Bacterial small subunit ribosomal RNA", at positions 524 to 776 of the family's 1533-position model. The record is from RNAcentral.